UAGGGAAUCUUCGGCAAUGGACGGAAGUCUGACCGAGCAACGCCGCGUGAGUGAAGAAGGAUUUCGGUUCGUAAAGCUCUGUUGUUAGGGAAGAAUGAUUGUGUAGUAACUAUACACAGUAGAGACGGUACCUAACCAGAAAGCCACGGCUAACUACGUGCCAGCAGCCGCGGUAAUACGUAGGUGGCAAGCGUUGUCCGGAAUUAUUGGGCGUAAAGCGCGCGCAGGUGGUUUAAUAAGUCUGAUGUGAAAGCCCACGGCUCAACCGUGGAGGGUCAUUGGAAACUGUUAAACUUGAGUGCAGGAGAGAAAAGUGGAAUUCCUAGUGUAGCGGUGAAAUGCGUAGAGAUUAGGAGGAACACCAGUGGCGAAGGCGGCUUUUUGGCCUGUAACUGACACUGAGGCGCGAAAGCGUGGGGAGCAAACAGGAUUAGAUACCCUGGUAGUCCACGCCGUAAACGAUGAGUGCUAAGUGUUGGUCUCAUAAGAGAUCAGUGCUGCAGCUAACGCAUUAAGCACUCCGCCUGGGGAGUACGACCGCAAGGUUG
This 548-nucleotide ribosomal RNA is filed under the name uncultured bacterium. Its description in RNAcentral is "bacterial SSU rRNA". It matches the Rfam family "Bacterial small subunit ribosomal RNA", at positions 355 to 896 of the family's 1533-position model. The record is from RNAcentral.